This 1438-nucleotide long non-coding RNA is filed under the name Equus caballus (horse). RNAcentral's name for it is "lncRNA (ENSECAG00000030635.2)". Lineage: Eukaryota; Metazoa; Chordata; Mammalia; Perissodactyla; Equidae. The record is from RNAcentral.
CAGCUACACGGAGGGGUCAGAGGCUGUAGACACUGCUGUCGGUCGAGCUCAGGCAUCAGAUGGGACACAGUCUAGCCUAAAAGGCAUCCAGCCGUUCAGACCAUGGUAGAUGAAUCUAAAUGCAGUGUUCUACUGCUCACCUGUGUGGAAUGGGACAAGGGCACACAGGUUCCAGACAGCCAGGCUUUAAUGAAUAUUCAAGUCCCUGGAACUGGUCUUGGAAGUCGAAGGUUGUGCUGGAGAGUCAAGGCCUCGCCAGCAGAGACAAAGCCCACCCCAUUAAGGAGCAGAGGACGUGUGCUUUCUACAGAAAAUGGGACUCUGGAAAAGGAAACUACAAAGGGGCACGGAGCAUCUCAGGUUGCUCUUUGUAGCCGUCAGCAGUCAGCAACAGAAGGAGCAGCUGGAAAGAGAGGCUGACCAAGAACUGCAUAUGAAGAAGUCUGUAAAUGGAAAGGAUUCAUCAGGAAGUUGACUGAUAGCAGUCAAAUUGUAUGCAUCAGUGCUUUUCCUUCUCUUUUAUCCAGCAAAAUUUUAAGUGCAAAGUUGGAUCACAACCUGGAAGAAUUCAGGGUGGGUAUUGCAAACUCCCACCGGGAACAACUAAGGACAAACCCAGCUGCUGCUGAUGCCUAGCAUCCUUCUAAGAAUGAGGGAGACUUCCUUCUGUAUUUAUGCCUAAGAUGUCGUGUGCAUAAGACCCUGGCCAGAGCAAGCCUGUGGAGAGCACAUGGCGUCAGUGUUACUGCUCAGAUUCAUUCAACAGUCAACACUGCGAUUCACGUGGCUGCAAAGCUCAUUCUCUGUAAGGCAGGUGUUCAGGCUCCACAUGGUCACCUGCCCAAACCACAGUCACACCAUCCUAGGAGACAAACUCUGGAUGGGACUCACUCUAGCUUCUUGUCAAUUACACUGUGGCUCACUCCUCACAUCUUGAUCCUUCCAGCAGCCCCCUGACAAAAGGUCCAAACUUGACUUCAGGACAUUUCAUUUCAGCUAAUGUAGCUUAAGUCUGUUUCAGCUCUUGUAGCAACUCUGUUACACUUUUAUGUGAAUUUGAGGUUAAAUUAAUCUUUUUCUUCAGGUAACAUUGAUAUAGGUGACUAACUCUGGUGCCCUUGGUAAGUGAAUAUAAAAUAAUGGAUUUGUAGGUUUAGUUCCAUUAAAGCCAAUUGCAGAAUACACGCAUGCUUCAUGAAAUGUGAUGUUGUCAGUUUCUGCCCACAUCUUUCAAAAUCUUGAAUGUAUCACUCAAAAGCUAGGUGAGUCCUCAUAGGUUCAAGCAUCUGAAAUGGGAUGUAUCUUUAUUCCAUUGCAAUACUGAUUAAUAAAUGAUACUCAGAACAGAGCCAUACAUGGACUCUUUGCCAUGUCAUUAAAGACCGUCGCUAUUAGUUUGAACCGUGUGAAAUUGCUAUUUUUAUAGGUAAAAUCUAAA